AGGACGAACGCUGGCGGCGUGCUUAACACAUGCAAGUCGAGCGGUAAGGCCUCCUUCGGGGGGUACACGAGCGGCGAACGGGUGAGUAACACGUGGGUGACCUGCCCUCAGCUCUGGGAUAAGCCUGGGAAACCGGGUCUAAUACCGGAUGGGACUGCUUGCCGCAUGGUGGGUGGUGGAAAGUUUUUUCUGCUGGGGAUGGGCCCGCGGCCUAUCAGCUUGUUGGUGGGUGAUGGCCUACCAAGGCGGUGACGGGUA
RNAcentral lists this ribosomal RNA (258 nucleotides) under uncultured bacterium. RNAcentral's name for it is "partial small subunit ribosomal RNA". It matches the Rfam family "Bacterial small subunit ribosomal RNA", at positions 26 to 285 of the family's 1533-position model. The record is from RNAcentral.